This 4566-nucleotide unclassified non-coding RNA is filed under the name Nilaparvata lugens (brown planthopper). RNAcentral describes it as "proline-rich protein HaeIII subfamily 1, transcript variant X1". The record is from RNAcentral. Lineage: Eukaryota; Metazoa; Arthropoda; Insecta; Hemiptera; Delphacidae.
AUUAAUGUUUGAAGCGUUGAAUAGCUUCAGUGAGUUGUCAGUGGUCUAUAGUGGAGCUGCAGAAUAAGGUGGCAACAUGAUGAUGCUUGUCCUGGCAACUCUCAACAUUCUCUUCAUUGUUAUUGAAGGAUACCCGCCACCUUCACCAGAUUCUCCACCCAACUUCUGGGGUGUUAAUGAUGAUGCACCAAGGCAAUUUUUUUGGAUUCCUCAAUCACCAGGGCAAUCUUCAACAUCACAACAGCAUUCAUCAUCACGACAAUCUCCACCCAAUUCUCCACCAGCAAAUCUCUAUGGAUCUAGAUACCCAUCACCACCAACCUAUACAUAUUCCACUGGCUAUUCACUGCCUGGCACGCCCAAUACUCGUCCUUGGAAUUCACCACCACAACCGGCUUCACCACAACAACAGCCUUCACCACCACAACCGGCUUCACCACAACGACAGCCUUCACCACCACAACCGGCUUCACCACCACUCUAUGGAUCUAGAUACCCAUCACCACCAACCUAUACAUAUUCCACUGGCUAUUCACUGCCUGGCACGCCCAAUACUCGUCCUUGGAAUUCACCACCACAACCGGCUUCACCACAACAACAGCCUUCACCACCACAACCGGCUUCACCACAACGACAGCCUUCACCACCACAACCGGCUUCACCACAACGACAGCCUUCACCACCACAACAUGCUCCACCACAACCUUCACCACAACGACAAUCUUCACCACGAACACGAAAACGAAGACAAAGGGAAGUUACAAUGCCUCCAAACACAAUUGUAGAAUUAAGUGACAUAAUGGAUUACAAUUUCGAUGGAAAGAUAAAUUAUUCUGAUUAUAAACGUAUGCAGGAAGGUCUACUCUAUAGGAACCCAGCUGUACACGAUCAUCUGCAAAAGAUAUUUGGUAAAAAUCUUGAGCAUGACAGAUCUGCAAGCUUCAUGACUAAAACAGCAUUUGGAAGUUGUCCUAUCGAUCUCGCCACAUUGAAUGGAGGAAAACCAUUCACUCAAGGAGAUAUUCAAAGAAUUUUCAAAAUCUCAUUUGAUGUAGCUACAGCUAUUAUAGUUUCUGGAAACUCGUCAGUUACAGCAGAAGAUCUUGCAAGUUACUUGAAGAGCAGCCGCAGAAAUUUUAAUUAACUUGGAGACAACAGACACUUUUGGAAUCGAAUCUCCAACACACAAAUAUGCAGUAAUAGCAAAUAUGUUUGUUUUUCUAUUUACUUUAUCCUGUAGUAAGCUAUAAUUAUUUUAAAAGAGUAGAUUGAGAUGAUUUACAAGCUUUGCAAUUGUUGUUAAUUUGAAAUAUUCAAUAUUAUUGAUGAUUAAUUCAUGAAUACCUUAAAUGCUGAAUUCAUAUUGAUUUCUAUGCAAGAAAAAACUAAAAAUAUUUCACUUUGAUUUCAUGAUUUAAUGAAAUACUGAAACUGCCGGUUUUAAAUGAUGACUAUUUUUGCAUUUGUAAAAUCCAUUUCUGAAUAUUAGUUAGCAAUCUGGGGUGGGACUAUUGACAGUCCCAGACAGCUGACCGAGUAUCGAUCAGCUGGUUGGGUUGUGGCAAGAUUCAACUCGCGCAUCAUAAUAAAAUGGUUGGAUAUAUUUUGUUCUAAAGAUGGUUAAUGAAUCCAAACUGAAGUAAAGUAAAGUAAACUAAUUAAUCAUGUAAUUAUUGUUUCAGCUUGCUAGUGCUCACUAGCAUUUUUUAUAACUCUGAAUACACACACAAAUCUCAAAUUGAAUAAAAGAAUUUUAAUUCAUAAUGUGAUAACUUUAUUGUUUUUAGAAAAUUGACUUGGUUGUUGAAGAAGAAUCCUUCAGCCAUGAGGGCUAUAGGUCUAUAGUAGGUAGCCUACAAAUAUUACUCAAAUUGACUAAAUCAGUCCAAGUGUAUACAAACUUAUUCAUUAUAAUAAAAUAUUAUGUAGGCUAUCUAAUACUUUAAAUUGAAUAUUUUAUUACUCAAUUAUAUUUCUUCAUGAUCUUCCAAUAAUUUGUCAACUUUGUGGGGCUAUAGGAGGGUAGAAAUAACAUGGUUAGUUAGUAACAUAGCCUGGAAACUCAUUUUUAUUGAUAUUUCAAAGAUAAAAAGGUAGGUUAGGGGGUUAGUUUUUGUUUAUGAAUGGCAAAAAUAUGCUGGAAUAUUAAUACUAUACUUAUUCAAAAAACUCUUAAAAAAUAUACUUUAUUCUUUAUUUACUGCAACUCCUUAUCCUUUCAGAGACCUGCCAAAAUUAUGUGAAUUAUUCCCAAUAAUCAUAAUAAUUUCAUUUGUUAACAGCACAGCUAUAGGCUACAAAUGAAUUUUGUGGAAGGGAUUGGGCUCCAGCUUGGAUUGGGAUUCACGUUAAAUAUGUUCAGUAAUGUUUCAAAGAUAGAAGGAUGGGUUAAGGGGUUGAAGUUUUUGCUUUGAAAUUGCAAUAUACUGGGAGAGGUUAGGGUCCAGGUUGAUUCAUAUCAAUGUUUCAAAGGUGAAAAAGUACUUUACUCCUUCGUUCCUGUUAGGGGGUAGGGUGGAUAGGGAAUAUGUUUCAACAAUAGGUUAGAGGGUUAGGUUUUCUAAAUGACAAUAUGCUGGUUUUGUUCAAAAUGUCUUGAUAGUUUUAUGUAUUGAACACAACGAAUUUGCUGGAAACAGAAAUCUCAAAUAAUGAAUUUUGAGUUGACAGAAAGCCUACGUACCGGUACUUGAAGUAUUGAGUUUUACCAGUUGUCCAACUUUAUAUUGACAGACUCAUCUACUUUGGACUGUCUUAUUUAUUCUAAAAACAGUUGUGACUGAAAGCUGGUUUUUUUAUUAGAAUAACAUACUGAAUUGAUUGAAACCCAAAAUUUCGUGACAGGUAUAGGGGCUCACAGUCUCAACUUACACCUAGCAAUCUGUUUCAAAAAGGUUGAUAAAAUAGUUCUUUAUUACACUGAUAAGUAAGUUGAUGAAUCAACAUGAGUCUCCUACUGGACAUUACUUUGUAAAAUAGAUUGAAAGUAGUCACAUUCAUUUAAAAUCAUUAGAUUCUACAUAACUAGGUACCAUACAUCUGUCAUACGGCAAUAGUUCAAUAUAAUUAUUUAUUUCAGUAGAUAAUAAAAGAGUGCUAUAUGUACCAUGUUUUAUGUAAAUAUUUAUUUAUUAUAAUUAAUAAUUUUGUUGCUACGACCUAAGAUAUAAUGUUUUACAAAGGGGUUAUGUUACUGUUCAUAUUGUAAUGUAAUUCCACACAUUGUAUUGAUUCCACAUUGCUAUUAUUGAUUUGUGAUUCCACAAAAAUCUGUAAUAAUACAGUAUCACAAAUAUUCAAAAUAGCCAACUUCAAAAACGAGAAUAGGAAUUAAAAAAUACAGAAAAUAUAGUUUUUUUAAGAAUUAUGAUGUGUAUUACAAUUUGUAUGAUAUAACAUAGGUAUAGAAUUAAAUAUCAAAAAUAUGUUAUUUUUCUUGUAAAAUUGGUAUUGAAUCCUUUCUUCAAAUUUGAAGAAAUGAAUGAAUAUUGUUCUUGACUGACAAUGCCCAAGUUUAGCACUUACAUACACAACUAUAGAGUGAUUCAUGUUAUAAAGUCAGCACCUGAUUAACAUUGGUGUUGCUAUCCUUGUCUGUCAUUGGACCAAGCGGACAGCUCUAUCCUUCUAAUGACUGUCAAAUUGUUUCCAGGUUAUGAAGAAAUAUAAUGAACCAGCAUUUCAAUCUUAAUUAUGGAAAUCAACAAUUGAAUCAUGAGAAGAUAUAUUUUCUUGGCUAAUAUUACAUAUUUUAGAAAGAAUAAACCAUUAUUAUUCGAUUAUAAUUAUUAUAAUCAUAAGAUAUAUCUGAAUAGCUUGAAUCACAGCUAUCCACACUAUAGGGCAGUGGGAACAGGAAAACGGCAACAAUGCAUUCUUAUAGAUCCCACUGGCUUCAUAAUAUGAAUCUCACUAUAGGGACAGUUUUUCAAAACUGUAGAUCUCUCCAGAUGUCAUUAAGAUGGUUCAGUAAUGCACUAUUAUCAAUAAUAUUUCAUGUUUGGAAUUAGUUCAUUUUUGUUUUCAGCAGAUAAAUGAAAAUACAUUUCGAAAUAUGGUAAUUUGUUUUAUUGUUUGUUAUUGAGUUUUAAUGCUAUGUAGGAAUUCCAUAUUUGAUUGAAAUGUUGUAUUUAAUUUGAUGUGAGAAGUUAGAGUUGAUUUUCCAUUUGAGUUAAUUCUCAAAUGUGUAGUAGCAUUCUUAAGUAUAUAUAUUAGAAAGGUUGUAUUCAUUGAAGUAAGAAGUUUGAGUUGAUUUUCCAUUUGAGUUAAUUCUCAAAUGUGUAGUAGCAUUCUUAAGUACCUAUAUAUUGAAAAGGUUACCUUGGAAAAGUUGUAUACAUUGAAGUAAGAAUUUUGAGUUGAUUUCCCAUUCGAGUCAAUUCUCAAAUGUGUAGUAGCAUUCCUAAGUAUAUAUAUUAGAAAGAUUACCUUAGAAAGGUUGUAUACAUUGAAGUAAGAAGUUUGAGUUGAUUUUCAAUUUGAGUUAAUUCUCAAAUGUGUAGUAGCAUUCUUAAGUAUAUAUAUUUUUUGUGUGUUUGUGUGUCUUUAAUUGAUUAAAUAUAUAAU